GGCACCUGUAGCCCAUUUCCUGCACACGCCUGUGAGCAAUAAACAGCAUCCCAUGCUUGGGUUUUAGUCUACUUUUUCACAUGAAUAACAGCAUAGAGAUGCGAAGAGAAUGCAUCCUCAAAGCACUGUGUGUAUACUUAAAUGAGGACCAUUUACAGCUGUUCAAGGAGUACAAUUAGUCCUAUGUUCCCUGAACAUAGCACAUACCGAACCGUACCGAAACCGUGACCCUAAAACUGUGAUAUGAACUGAACCGUGAGCAUUUUGAACCGUUGCUCCCCUAAUGUUUACUGUCAUUAUUAAAGAUUUUUGUUCUACAAAUGAAACACAUUUUAUUUGUUUUGCACAGGAUUGCGACUGGGUGAAUGCCAAAAAAGCCAUAGAGCAGAUGGUAAUGGGGAUCUACAUCGUCCGAUCCGAAGGACACCAACCAGGGGAUAAGCCUGUGGAUGUUGGUAUUGUGAUUGAAGGGACUGAGGUUCUAUGCUCUUUGAAGAACGUAGCUGUAGCAGUGGCCAUGCUGGACUUACUUACGCCUUGAACCUCAGCUAUCCACGAGAACCCAAACUUCCCUUUUAAGUCUUCCAGAAAGUGUUCUUUAACUUGGAUGGACAAAAACUUUCACCAAAGGUAAAAGCCCGCAAGAACAAGAUGCUGGAGUAAGUUACCUAACGUGUGUAGUCUCAAAAGACUCAAUCUUGAUGCAAGAAGGUAGUAGCCUAUCACAUUCGUAUAUUAUCACACCAUUUAAAGUCCCAUGCCUGAUUUGAUGAGGCCACUUCUGAAUGACGUCUUACAGAGCUUGACUUGAAUGACUCUAAAAUAUAAUUUAAAGCAUUUAUGAGCCCCUAUAAAAUCAGACAUUUGUAAAACAUCUUCUAUUGAGAUAGGGAGAUGCGCUUUCCAAAGCAUGUAGUUCGCACCUACAACCAGCAGGGGCCAACUAAACCAUUCUAACCAGCCCAACCUUGAGCCUUAACCAGUACAAUCCUGAUAAUUAAAUAACCCUAUAAAUUGCUCUUUGGGUAUUGAAGUAGAAGAGGUUAAAUGUUGAGAGGGUUUUUUUUUUCCCAGAUACUAGGCUGAGUAAGUACCAGAUAAAACCAUGCAACCACAUCACCACACCGACCGCUACACAGUUUCAGGAGAAAAACUAAGCAAACUUAAGUAUGACUGAUUACCUACAAGCCACCAUCUAAUGAGGCAAUGAGGCCAUCUAACAUGAAUGUGGUUGCACAGUUUUAAAACAUAACCAUGAGUCAGCAGAAGUUAUAUUUAUUCAUUCUUCUCAUUGCAGGUCAAGUGUGAGGAAAAUUUUUUUUAUUGAGAAACUUGUUCAAAGGAAAUGAUGACUGAUUGGCUAAAGCCUUUAAAGUAACUAAAAAUGCACAAGAAGAGUCGUGUGGAGGGGUGUGGUUAGUAUCAGCGCAUGUGUGUGGGUUGUUUGUCAAACAGUGCUGUAUAGAUGUCUGUUGUUGUGGCAGAAGUGUGAAGAUGUUCACACCUCUGUUUUAUUCAAAAUAAAUAACUAUAUAGAAAAAUAAGAAAACCUAAUGAUGUUUGGUUCUUUACAUGAGGAUUCUGUACAAAAAUACUCAGGUUUCCUGCAAAAUACUUCUUCAAUGGCACAUCCAGUGUAGUUGAAUUACAAAUUAUUCUAAUGAGUUUUUGGAUCUGUUGCAAAACUGUUUCUCUGUAUUCCUUGUGUAAGUUGGAUUAAAGAUGACUGUUUUCUUAAUUUUGUCUCCAUGAGCUCUGAUGAAAUAAAUAAAGCAUGUAUUGUGUUUUCUGAUUACAGAAUGAAAGACUCUAAAGGUGAUGAUACAUGGGGCAACUUUUUGAGCUAUGUUAUGACUAAUGUGUGGGUUAUUUCAUGUGAAACCAACACACAACUAAGAAACUAGACACUUUGUAUAAAAUAUUUUAUAAAUAAAAAUGAAAUGAAAUGAAAAUGUGUUUAGCAUGGUUUUAUAGUUAGUAGAGUUAAUGCCGAUUAUUGGAUUUCAUUAUUAUAGUUGUUCAAAGAGUUACACAGCUUUGGGUGGGGUGCACACUGUCUCUCUUUUGAGAAAUGAGAAGAUAUGGUGUAGAGUACUCUCAGAGUUUGCUCAUUUCACCAUUGAUUCAAAAGGAGCAUUUCUGAAUUUGCAUUUCACAAUGUCACAUCAAUUCA
Cyprinus carpio (common carp) is the source of this 2173-nucleotide long non-coding RNA. RefSeq lists it as uncharacterized. The transcript is spliced from 3 exons. Lineage: Eukaryota; Metazoa; Chordata; Actinopteri; Cypriniformes; Cyprinidae. The record is from RefSeq and is a predicted model, not a curated record.